RNAcentral lists this ribosomal RNA (308 nucleotides) under uncultured Sphaerochaeta sp. RNAcentral's name for it is "partial 16S ribosomal RNA". The record is from RNAcentral. Lineage: Bacteria; Pseudomonadati; Spirochaetota; Spirochaetia; Spirochaetales; Sphaerochaetaceae.
GGAGUCUGGACCGUGUCUCAGUUCCAAUGUGACCGUUCACCCUCUCAGGCCGGCUACCCAUCAUCGCCAUGGUGGGCCUUUACCUCACCAUCUAGCUAAUGGGCCGCGGGCUCAUCUUCCAGCGGGGCCUUGGCCCCUUUCCUGCCUCCCACUUGUGUGAAUGGCAUCGCAUCCGGUAUUAUCCUGUGUUUCCACAGGCUAUCCCCGACUGAAAGGCAGAUUACCCACGUGUUACUCACCCGUCCGCCGCUCUCGUAUUGCUACUACCGCUCGACUUGCAUGCUUAAAACGCGCCGCCAGCGUUCGUU